GUCUCUUGCGUACUUUGUUGCUUUGGCGGGCCCACUGUUUCACUCCGGUCGCCGGGGAGCGCUAUGCUCCCGGGCCCGUGCCCGCCAGAGCACCCCUGUGAACCCUGAUGAAGAGAGGCUGUCUGAGUCCCACGAUAAUCGUUAAAACUUUCAACAAUGGAUCUCUUGGUUCCGGCAUCGAUGAAGAACGCAGCGAAAUGCGAUAAGUAAUGUGAAUUGCAGAAUUCCGUGAAUCAUCGAAUCUUUGAACGCACAUUGCGCCCCCUGGCAUUCCGGGGGGCAUGCCUGUCCGAGCGUCAUUUCUGCCCUCAAGCGCGGCUUGUGUGUUGGGCGUGGUCCCCCUGGCUUUGGCGGGGACCUGCCCGAAAGGCAGCGGCGACGUCCCGCCUAGUCCUCGAGCGUAUGGGGCUCUGUCACGCGCUCGGGAGGGACUGGUGGGCGUUGGUCACCCCUUAUUCUUUCUACGGUUGACCUCGGAUCAGGUAGGAGUUACCCGCUGAACUUAAGCAUAUCAAUAAGCGGAGGAAUU
RNAcentral lists this ribosomal RNA (529 nucleotides) under Talaromyces sp. CSE170. RNAcentral's name for it is "eukaryotic LSU rRNA". The stretch from base 146 to 299 matches the Rfam family "5.8S ribosomal RNA". The record is from RNAcentral. Lineage: Eukaryota; Fungi; Ascomycota; Eurotiomycetes; Eurotiales; Trichocomaceae.